AUUCCAUGAUGAGGACAUUCUGUGAUGUAAUCUUGAAAGCGCUCCUAGGCCUCUAGGACUGUCUCGUCAUUGUGUUGCUGAAAACUUUAUAUUUUCCCUCUGUUGAC
RNAcentral lists this small nucleolar RNA (107 nucleotides) under Sorghum bicolor (sorghum). Its description in RNAcentral is "Plant small nucleolar RNA R71". It matches the Rfam family "Plant small nucleolar RNA R71". Rfam says of the family: R71 is a member of the C/D box family of snoRNAs containing the C (UGAUGA) and D (CUGA) box motifs. Multiple nearly identical copies of this snoRNA have been identified in Arabidopsis, and it is thought to function as a 2'-O-ribose methylation guide for 18S ribosomal RNA. The record is from Rfam by way of RNAcentral. Lineage: Eukaryota; Viridiplantae; Streptophyta; Magnoliopsida; Poales; Poaceae.